CGGCGAUGAUGGGUAACAAAGUUGUAUAGGAGGGUUUGGAGAAUGAGUAGCUGAUGAUGAGAGAGAGUAGGGUAAUGGUUUUUCUUGUGCCGGUGGGCAUUUCGAGGAGAGAGUGGCCUUUGGCAUCUAGGGCACGCUUCAGUUCCACCAUGUAUGAAUAUUGUUCUGGGUGUGAUCGUAUGGGAAGUACCCAGUAACAUCUUCGAUUUGAAACUUCAUCUCUCCCUCUGCAAUAUUUUCUCUAAUCUAUAUCUAUAUCUAUAUGUUUCUGUAAAGAAAGAUUAAAGUUCAAUUUUCAGCAGGAUGAGGAAGACGAUGGACGAACAGUCUAGGACGGUGAUCAGUUACGGUGGCUUCGUUUCUUUUUAUAUUGGAAUUGGAAUCUAAAUAUUAUGCGUAAUUGGGUAAAGGAAAAAUAUAGGCAGCAGCGAGAGCGAGAGCCUUUGAUUCGAAUUUAUGGGCAUCAAGGUUCGAAUUUAUGGGCGAAUAUAUGGAGCAUUUGAUUCCAGUGGUUUGUUUUAAUAGAUGGCUUGUUUAUGUGUAUUUCAAUUUGUCAAUUAUGCUUUACUGUUAAUUUUUAAUUUUCAGAUUUGGAUGUUUUUGAUCUAUUAUUAAUUCCUACGUUCAUGUCUUUGUUCAUGGGUGUUUUUGAUCUGUUUGUCUGAUUGGUAUGUGUUCCAUUUCAACUUGUUAGGGGCGUGAUGUUUAUUUUGGGUUGCAGCUGAUUUGGAGGUUCUAUCAUUCUUACUUUCUUUAUUGUUGUUGUAUGAUUGAUUUGGCUUUAGUUGAGGUUGUGUCUUGGUGAUCUCCGACCUAUUUCCGGCUGGCUGAUUUUGGCAGUUUGCCAAAAAAUGUUGGUAGGUGCAACAGAGGCGGUCUAGUCAUCUUUGGUGCUGCACAUGGGUUCCACUUGGGCAAUAACUAGUUUAUCAUUAUCCACGUCAGAUGAGUAAGCUACGUUAGAAUUUUCCAUCUACUCCGUUAGUCAAUUUUAACGAUUAUUUUAAAAUUAGAAAGUACAAGCACUAGAUUGCAACAUUUUUCGAGUACAAUCACCUAUUUGUAACUUUUUUCACUUUGAGUACCA
RNAcentral lists this long non-coding RNA (1087 nucleotides) under Panax ginseng (ginseng). RNAcentral's name for it is "long non-coding RNA (PGIN_LNC003140)". The record is from RNAcentral. Lineage: Eukaryota; Viridiplantae; Streptophyta; Magnoliopsida; Apiales; Araliaceae.